UUCCUUCGGUUUGAGCUCAAUUGGAAAUAUGAUUAGCAUAUAGAUUUUUCCUGCUUCUGGCAAGGAUUUUUACACUGGAAAAAAGAGGCUAUACGUUUUGUAGAAAACUCAAGGUCUGACCCACCAAACUCCACUAUUGCCUUCCUGGACCAAUAUCCUUCUUCAAUAGCCAUUUUAUACAACGUUUUCUUCUGGUAAUGAGAAGUUAAUUGCAAGGCUUUGAUACUUUUGGAUGGGGAUGCAGUAAAAUUGAACAAACACAGCUUAUCCUACAUUCUGAAGAUGGGGCACAUUUAUCAGGAAUAAGAAACAGACACGUGGACUAAAAAUAGGGAAAUGAUGUCAAGUAUUGGCAUGGGUUUCAUAUUUUCCAAGAAACAUGAGAAGAACGGGCCUACCACACUCUUUCAUUGCUUGAGCUGGCAUGGUGGUUAAAUUUUUCUAAAACAGUCAUAUUAAUGUGUUCAAAAAUCCACUGCUGAGUCUCAGAGAGAGGGUCACAUCUG
This is a long non-coding RNA of Cercocebus atys (sooty mangabey), 506 nucleotides long. RefSeq lists it as uncharacterized. NCBI's taxonomy places the organism in Eukaryota, Metazoa, Chordata, Mammalia, Primates, Cercopithecidae. The transcript is spliced from 5 exons. The record is from RefSeq and is a predicted model, not a curated record.